AUACUUACCUGGGCGGUGCCAAUCGCUGAUCCAGCAGGCCCAUGAACUAGUUCUGGUCGACCCAUUGCACUCCGGCACGGCAAGUCCUAGCACUUUCCACGGGAAAGUGCACGUCAUAAUUUGUUGCAGCGGAGCGCUCGCGUUCGCGCGGCCAUCCA
This 158-nucleotide small nuclear RNA is filed under the name Marchantia polymorpha subsp. ruderalis. Its description in RNAcentral is "U1 spliceosomal RNA". It matches the Rfam family "U1 spliceosomal RNA". Rfam says of the family: U1 is a small nuclear RNA (snRNA) component of the spliceosome (involved in pre-mRNA splicing). Its 5' end forms complementary base pairs with the 5' splice junction, thus defining the 5' donor site of an intron. There are significant differences in sequence and secondary structure between metazoan and yeast U1 snRNAs, the latter being much longer (568 nucleotides as compared to 164 nucleotides in human). Lineage: Eukaryota; Viridiplantae; Streptophyta; Marchantiopsida; Marchantiales; Marchantiaceae. The record is from Rfam by way of RNAcentral.